RNAcentral lists this unclassified non-coding RNA (387 nucleotides) under uncultured Phycisphaeraceae bacterium. Its description in RNAcentral is "contains 16S-23S intergenic spacer region". Lineage: Bacteria; Pseudomonadati; Planctomycetota; Phycisphaerae; Phycisphaerales; Phycisphaeraceae. The record is from RNAcentral.
UCCGGUUUGACACCGGCAGUCUCGCUAGAGUCCUUCCCGAUUGCUCGGGGAUAGCAACUAGAGAUAGGGGUUUCGCUCGUUAAGGGACUUAACCCGACACUUCACAGCACGAGCUGACGACAGCCAUGCAGCACCUGUGUAUGUUGUACCCGAAGGCCUUAGUCGUGUUUCCACGACCUAAUCCAUACAUGUCAAGCCCAGGAUAAGGUUCUUCGCGUUGCUUCGAAUUGAGCCACAUGCUCCACCGCUUGUGUGAGCCCCCGUCAAUUCCUUUGAGUUUUAGCCUUGCGACCGUACUCCCCAGGCGGUGUACUUAGCACUUUAGCUUCGACCAUGGGGGCGUCAGAGCCUCCACGAUCUAGUACACAUCGUUUAGGGCGUGGACUA